UGAGACUGACCUUGAAUAUGUGAUCCUCCUGUCUCAACCUCCCAAGUUGCUGGGGUUAUAGGUACAUGGCACUGUUCUAGUCUUUCUUUGUCUUCUUAAAGUUCUGAGCCAUAACAUACAUCUACAGCGGAUUAAAAUUUCCAGUCACACAGUUUUUCGAGUUUGAAGGUCCUGAUUUUCUGAACCCUUUUCGAAGAAAGGUAAUCUGACUUACUCAUCCUCCAUUUACUUGAGUAAUGGGAAUUAUUGUUGUGACAGGUGAUCUAAAUCUGUCGUGCUUCACAACAGGCUCUCCAGGCAACCUUCAUUCAGCCCUUCUGGCAUUGGCCACAAGGUUUCUAUGGCGACAACAUUGCUAACACUGGGUUGAGGAUUGCUGUUCACCAGUUACUGGAUCUGGAGCCUGGGACAAGAUGUCAGAUCCAAACAAAGCUGCCAUUGAAGCAGAAAAGGAGGCUUUGAACUUGAAAUUACCCCCUAUUGUCCAUCCCCCAGAAGACAUAGGGGUUGAUACACCACAACAAAGUAAGCUGCUAAACUACAAAAGAUCCAAGGAGCAGCAGAAGACCAUCAAUCAGUUAGUAAUUGAUGGAGCCAAAAAAAAUCUAGACAGAACAUUGGAUAAACGAAUACCUCCAUUACCAGAAGUUGAUUAUCCUCCAACUAUGACCAGUGAAAUUAAAAGAAAAGGAGUGAGUUCUAUUGUUUAUUUCUUGUUUUGAAAAUGUUCAAAUAAAUUAAUUCAAAGUCAUUUUUCUAAGACCCCUUGUUAU
RNAcentral lists this long non-coding RNA (773 nucleotides) under Ictidomys tridecemlineatus (thirteen-lined ground squirrel). Its description in RNAcentral is "lncRNA (ENSSTOG00000034481.1)". The record is from RNAcentral. Lineage: Eukaryota; Metazoa; Chordata; Mammalia; Rodentia; Sciuridae.